Molecule: non-coding RNA, 27 nt
Filed under: Homo sapiens (human)
Lineage: Eukaryota; Metazoa; Chordata; Mammalia; Primates; Hominidae
Source: RNAcentral
UUCAUAAUGCCGAUGUGACUCUACGUA